RNAcentral lists this ribosomal RNA (2987 nucleotides) under Salmonella enterica subsp. enterica serovar Typhimurium. RNAcentral's name for it is "bacterial LSU rRNA". It matches the Rfam family "Bacterial large subunit ribosomal RNA". Lineage: Bacteria; Pseudomonadati; Pseudomonadota; Gammaproteobacteria; Enterobacterales; Enterobacteriaceae. The record is from RNAcentral.
UUAAGCGACUAAGCGUACACGGUGGAUGCCCUGGCAGUCAGAGGCGAUGAAGGACGUGCUAAUCUGCGAUAAGCGCCGGUAAGGUGAUAUGAACCGUUAUAACCGGCGAUUUCCGAAUGGGGAAACCCAGUGUGAUUCGUCACACUAUCAUUAACUGAAUCCAUAGGUUAAUGAGGCGAACCGGGGGAACUGAAACAUCUAAGUACCCCGAGGAAAAGAAAUCAACCGAGAUUCCCCAGUAGCGGCGAGCGAACGGGGAGGAGCCCAGAGCCUGAAUCAGCAUGUGUGUUAGUGGAAGCGUCUGGAAAGGCGCGCGAUACAGGGUGACAGCCCCGUACACAAAAGCGCAUGUGCUGUGAGCUCGAUGAGUAGGGCGGGACACGUGGUAUCCUGUCUGAAUAUGGGGGGACCAUCCUCCAAGGCUAAAUACUCCUGACUGACCGAUAGUGAACCAGUACCGUGAGGGAAAGGCGAAAAGAACCCCGGCGAGGGGAGUGAAAAAGAACCUGAAACCGUGUACGUACAAGCAGUGGGAGCACCCUUCGGGGUGUGACUGCGUACCUUUUGUAUAAUGGGUCAGCGACUUAUAUUCUGUAGCAAGGUUAACCGUAUAGGGGAGCCGGAGGGAAACCGAGUCUUAAUUGGGCGUUAAGUUGCAGGGUAUAGACCCGAAACCCGGUGAUCUAGCCAUGGGCAGGUUGAAGGUUGGGUAACACUAACUGGAGGACCGAACCGACUAAUGUUGAAAAAUUAGCGGAUGACCUGUGGCUGGGGGUGAAAGGCCAAUCAAACCGGGAGAUAGCUGGUUCUCCCCGAAAGCUAUUUAGGUAGCGCCUCGUGAAUUCAUCUCCGGGGGUAGAGCACUGUUUCGGCUAGGGGGCCAUCCCGGCUUACCAACCCGAUGCAAACUGCGAAUACCGGAGAAUGUUAUCACGGGAGACACACGGCGGGUGCUAACGUCCGUCGUGAAGAGGGAAACAACCCAGACCGCCAGCUAAGGUCCCAAAGUCAUGGUUAAGUGGGAAACGAUGUGGGAAGGCCCAGACAGCCAGGAUGUUGGCUUAGAAGCAGCCAUCAUUUAAAGAAAGCGUAAUAGCUCACUGGUCGAGUCGGCCUGCGCGGAAGAUGUAACGGGGCUAAACCAUGCACCGAAGCUGCGGCAGCGAACGUAUCACCCAAGACAACUUUACGGAGUUGACGAUUGACGGAGCGAAGCGACGUCAAAGCGUUCAUUAAAGUCGAGUUGGCUUAGGGAUACGUUCGUUGGGUAGGGGAGCGUUCUGUAAGCCUGUGAAGGUGUGUCGUGAGGCAUGCUGGAGGUAUCAGAAGUGCGAAUGCUGACAUAAGUAACGAUAAAGCGGGUGAAAAGCCCGCUCGCCGGAAGACCAAGGGUUCCUGUCCAACGUUAAUCGGGGCAGGGUGAGUCGACCCCUAAGGCGAGGCCGAAAGGCGUAGUCGAUGGGAAACGGGUUAAUAUUCCCGUACUUGGUGUUACUGCGAAGGGGGGACGGAGAAGGCUAUGUUGGCCGGGCGACGGUUGUCCCGGUUUAAGCGUGUAGGUGUGUGUUCCAGGUAAAUCCGGUUCACUUUAACACUGAGGCGUGACGACGAGGCACUACGGUGCUGAAGCAACAAAUGCCCUGCUUCCAGGAAAAGCCUCUAAGCAUCAGGUAACACGAAAUCGUACCCCAAACCGACACAGGUGGUCAGGUAGAGAAUACCAAGGCGCUUGAGAGAACUCGGGUGAAGGAACUAGGCAAAAUGGUGCCGUAACUUCGGGAGAAGGCACGCUGACACGUAGGUGAAGUGAUUUACUCAUGGAGCUGAAGUCAGUCGAAGAUACCAGCUGGCUGCAACUGUUUAUUAAAAACACAGCACUGUGCAAACACGAAAGUGGACGUAUACGGUGUGACGCCUGCCCGGUGCCGGAAGGUUAAUUGAUGGGGUCAGCGUAAGCGAAGCUCCUGAUCGAAGCCCCGGUAAACGGCGGCCGUAACUAUAACGGUCCUAAGGUAGCGAAAUUCCUUGUCGGGUAAGUUCCGACCUGCACGAAUGGCGUAAUGAUGGCCAGGCUGUCUCCACCCGAGACUCAGUGAAAUUGAACUCGCUGUGAAGAUGCAGUGUACCCGCGGCAAGACGGAAAGACCCCGUGAACCUUUACUAUAGCUUGACACUGAACAUUGAGCCUUGAUGUGUAGGAUAGGUGGGAGGCUUUGAAGUGUGGACGCCAGUCUGCAUGGAGCCGACCUUGAAAUACCACCCUUUAAUGUUUGAUGUUCUAACGUGGACCCGUAAUCCGGGUUGCGGACAGUGUCUGGUGGGUAGUUUGACUGGGGCGGUCUCCUCCUAAAGAGUAACGGAGGAGCACGAAGGUUGGCUAAUCCUGGUCGGACAUCAGGAGGUUAGUGCAAUGGCAUAAGCCAGCUUGACUGCGAGCGUGACGGCGCGAGCAGGUGCGAAAGCAGGUCAUAGUGAUCCGGUGGUUCUGAAUGGAAGGGCCAUCGCUCAACGGAUAAAAGGUACUCCGGGGAUAACAGGCUGAUACCGCCCAAGAGUUCAUAUCGACGGCGGUGUUUGGCACCUCGAUGUCGGCUCAUCACAUCCUGGGGCUGAAGUAGGUCCCAAGGGUAUGGCUGUUCGCCAUUUAAAGUGGUACGCGAGCUGGGUUUAGAACGUCGUGAGACAGUUCGGUCCCUAUCUGCCGUGGGCGCUGGAGAACUGAGGGGGGCUGCUCCUAGUACGAGAGGACCGGAGUGGACGCAUCACUGGUGUUCGGGUUGUCAUGCCAAUGGCACUGCCCGGUAGCUAAAUGCGGAAGAGAUAAGUGCUGAAAGCAUCUAAGCACGAAACUUGCCCCGAGAUGAGUUCUCCCUGAGACUUAGAGUCUCCUGAAGGAACGUUGAAGACGACGACGUUGAUAGGCCGGGUGUGUAAGCGCAGCGAUGCGUUGAGCUAACCGGUACUAAUGAACCGUGAGGCUUAACCUU